AGAUGGCCUGAAAAACUUGUAUAAUGGAAGAAUAAAAAAGCAGUCCAGAAUAUUAUCACAUUCUGCUCAUGCCUGACUUAAGGUUCCCAUUCCUGUAGCAGUGACAGCCAAACGGACUGCAUGUUUACUCCUCUGCUGCCACGAUUUACAAUGAAAAGUAAACUACCAGUGACUUCAGCAGAUGCUGAAGAGGAGAGGGAAGCUGUGACAGCUGGAAAGCAACAAGGCAACAGCUACUUUUCUGAGCAUUGAGUGACAGCGCCAUCAGCAACUGAACCAUCUUACCAGUCAUCAGAGAGAGCGCAGCCAGCUUUUUUUGUACAUUUGGGCCUGUUUUGGACUUUCUACUGGUAAAGCAUGUUUACAAUGUUCCCUUGGAGAACUCUGCUUUUAUGAUUGCACAGUUGCAAGUUUCAAGUUGACCCUGACAGCAAGCUGCUCAGCGGUAAAGCUCUGGGGAGAGAGUUCACAAGCUAAUUGCAAAGCUUUGAGAAGUUCAUAAAACCAGUUAUGAAGGCUGAUGCAAAAAUGCUCAAGCCAGAUCUAACGCUAAAGAGAUGCCACAAGAGAAAACUGGUCAUUACUGCCUGGUUAUCAAUAUACGUGUUAAAAUAACCAGCAGUGGUAGUAACUGGGCUGCAGUCAGCUCUUUGCAGCACACAUACACACUUAACCUUGUUACGUAGUCACGUCAGAGAAAACAAUUUUAACUCCUCCCUCCAUCCUCCAACCGAAAUUGGCCAAUUCUUCCUGAUGGUCUUUGCUGAGAUUACAGAAUCCAUAAAAGACUACAGACUCCUCAAGACUCAGAGAAAACUGAGACAAUAUUUAAAAAGACUCGAGAUUUAAAAAGGUGUUCACAAUAAAAGACCAAAACAAAACGGGCCCCUUGACAUAUUUUGAUGGAGGACUUGGAAGAGACUACCCAAUGUAUUGCCCAGGAAAAAGUGCUGUUUCACUCUUAACUUACAAGGGGUAAAUAAAAGUGAAAAUGCA
Aptenodytes forsteri (emperor penguin) is the source of this 996-nucleotide long non-coding RNA. RefSeq lists it as uncharacterized. The transcript is spliced from 3 exons. The record is from RefSeq and is a predicted model, not a curated record. NCBI's taxonomy places the organism in Eukaryota, Metazoa, Chordata, Aves, Sphenisciformes, Spheniscidae.